RNAcentral lists this ribosomal RNA (347 nucleotides) under Francisella tularensis subsp. holarctica. RNAcentral describes it as "bacterial SSU rRNA". It matches the Rfam family "Bacterial small subunit ribosomal RNA", at positions 1 to 354 of the family's 1533-position model. Lineage: Bacteria; Pseudomonadati; Pseudomonadota; Gammaproteobacteria; Thiotrichales; Francisellaceae. The record is from RNAcentral.
UUAAACUGAAGAGUUUGAUCCUGGCUCAGAUUGAACGCUGGUGGCAUGCUUAACACAUGCAAGUCGAACGGUAACAGGUCUUAGGAUGCUGACGAGUGGCGGACGGGUGAGUAACGCGUAGGAAUCUGCCCAUUUGAGGGGGAUACCAGUUGGAAACGACUGUUAAUACCGCAUAAUAUCUGUGGAUUAAAGGUGGCUUUCGGGCUGUCGCAGAUGGAUGAGCCUGCGUUGGAUUAGCUAGUUGGUGGGGUAAGGGCCCACCAAGGCUACGAUCCAUAGCUGAUUUGAGAGGAUGAUCAGCCACAUUGGGACUGAGACACGGCCCAAACUCCUACGGGAGGCAGCAG